RNAcentral lists this long non-coding RNA (654 nucleotides) under Salmo salar (Atlantic salmon). RNAcentral describes it as "lncRNA (ENSSSAG00000094172.1, ENSSSAG00075049458.1)". Lineage: Eukaryota; Metazoa; Chordata; Actinopteri; Salmoniformes; Salmonidae. The record is from RNAcentral.
CUUCAAGGAAGCGAGGAAGGGAAGGCGCUUGAAAUGAAAUGCAUCCUGGGAGGGAUAUCACUACUCCACCCAUCCAUCCCACUUCAGUCCUGUGGGGCUCUAAACCUCAAUGUAAGAUCUCGGUCGUAUUUAUUAGGUACCAAACGGAACAGACUGAAACAGGGAGGCACUAUCAAACAGACAUGGACCAUUCUGUGGUGUAACGGUGAGCACUGAAGGGAGUUGCUGGGUUGGAGUAGAGGGUAGUUUCCACAGACUGGGAAGCUGAUGGAUAGAGGAGAGGACCUGAGCCCUAGGACCAUGUCUCAGGACUACCUGACAUGAUGACUCCUUGCUGUCCCCAGUCCACCUGGCCGUGCUGCUGCUCCAGUUUCAACUGUUCUGCCUGCGGCUAUGGAACCCUGACCUGUUCACCGGACGUGCUACCUGUCCUAGACCUGCUGUUUUCAACUCUCUAGAGACAGCAGUAGCGGUAGAGAUACUCUCAAUGAUCGGCUAUGAAAAGCCAACUGACAUUUACUCUUGAGGUGCUGACUUUUUGCACCCUCGACAACCACUGUGAUUAUUAUUAUUUGACCAUGCUGGUCAUUUAUGAACAUUUGAACAUCUUGGCCAUGUUCUGUUAUAAUCUCCACCCGGCACAGCCAGAAGAGG